CCUGCCAUUAGGUGAAGCUUUGUGUGAACAAGCCACUGCUGCAGAGUGUGAGCAGCUCUCUCAAAACUGUCAAAGUGUGACUCCCACAGUUCAGAGCACUUCACUGCUUUUCUGCUGCACAUUUCUCUGUUUGACAAUAAUGGGCAACUAUGACAUGUCUGAUCAUAUUUAUGACAACACCAACUGGAUGAAAAAGGAUUCAUUUGGAAUUAGGAAAUCUGCCAAAAAGAAGCAAUGUAGACCUAUCUGUGCCAAGGUUCUUGCUGUUCUCCUCAUCCUGUCUCUGCUGGUUAAUGGAGUGCUGGCAUACUUGUAUGUCAAUAAUUAUAAAAAUGUGCUGUUGCAGUGCGAGCCAGGAACAAACUGCUCAAAUUCAGACCAUCAUCAAGGAAUUCCGGGCUGCACAUAUGAUGAGGACUGGAGGUCAAUAACCUACUGCCCAGAUUUGCCAGAGCAGUGGUAUAAGGGCAACGGCAGAUUUUACAUUUUCUCCAGUCACAACAAGACCUGGAACUCCAGCAGAGAGUAUUGUCAGGAUCUGGGUGGAGAUCUGGUCAUUAUCGACAACACAGAGGAGAAGGAAUUUCUUGCUCAGAGACUAUGUGUUGCUGGUGAAUCUGAUCUCUACUGGGCUGGGAACAAGGAUGGGAACUGGUCAGAUCUGAAUCCCAAAUACAACUGUGCUGUUCUUAAAGGAAAUACACAAGAAAACAUUUAUUGCUUAAGAGAAGAGAAGAGCAUUUGUGAGAUCCCAUGCCUUCAGUAAACCUACA
Cyprinus carpio carpio is the source of this 773-nucleotide long non-coding RNA. Lineage: Eukaryota; Metazoa; Chordata; Actinopteri; Cypriniformes; Cyprinidae. The record is from Ensembl.